RNAcentral lists this ribosomal RNA (586 nucleotides) under uncultured bacterium. Its description in RNAcentral is "partial 16S ribosomal RNA". It matches the Rfam family "Bacterial small subunit ribosomal RNA", at positions 355 to 937 of the family's 1533-position model. The record is from RNAcentral.
UGGGGAAUUUUGGACAAUGGGCGAAAGCCUGAUCCAGCAAUGCCGCGUGUGUGAAGAAGGCCUUCGGGUUGUAAAGCACUUUUGUCCGGAAAGAAAUCCUUGGCUCUAAUACAGUCGGGGGAUGACGGUACCGGAAGAAUAAGCACCGGCUAACUACGUGCCAGCAGCCGCGGUAAUACGUAGGGUGCAAGCGUUAAUCGGAAUUACUGGGCGUAAAGCGUGCGCAGGCGGUUUGCUAAGACCGAUGUGAAAUCCCCGGGCUCAACCUGGGAACUGCAUUGGUGACUGGCAGGCUAGAGUAUGGCAGAGGGGGGUAGAAUUCCACGUGUAGCAGUGAAAUGCGUAGAGAUGUGGAGGAAUACCGAUGGCGAAGGCAGCCCCCUGGGCCAAAUACUGACGCUCAUGCACGAAAGCGUGGGGAGCAAACAGGAUUAGAUACCCUGGUAGUCCAGCGCCCUAAACGAUGUCAACUAGUUGUUGGGGAUUCAUUUCCUUAGUAACGUAGCUAACGCGUGAAGUUGACCGCCUGGGGAGUACGGUCGCAAGAUUAAAACUCAAAGGAAUUGACGGGGUCAUAGCUGUUUCC